ACGAACGCUGGCGGCGUGCUUAACACAUGCAAGUCGAACGGAAAGGCCCCUUUGGGGGUACUCGAGUGGCGAACGGGUGAGUAACACGUGAGUAACCUGCCCUUGACUUCGGGAUAACUUCAGGAAACUGGGGCUAAUACCGGAUAGGAAUCCUUGCUGCAUGGUGGGGGUUGGAAAGCUUCGGCGGUUUUGGAUGGACUCGCGGCUUAUCAGCUUGUCGGUGGGGUAGUGGCUUACCAAGGCUUUGACGGGUAGCCGGCCUGAGAGGGCGACCGGCCACAUUGGGACUGAGAUACGGCCCAGACUCCUACGGGAGGCAGCGGUGGGGAAUAUUGCACAAUGGGCGGAAGCCUGAUGCAGCAACGCCGCGUGCGGGAUGACGGCCUUCGGGUUGUAAACCGCUUUCAGCAGGGGCGAAGCUUGUGGUGACGGUACCUGCAGAAGAAGCACCGGCUAACUACGUG
RNAcentral lists this ribosomal RNA (464 nucleotides) under uncultured bacterium. RNAcentral describes it as "partial 16S ribosomal RNA". It matches the Rfam family "Bacterial small subunit ribosomal RNA", at positions 29 to 507 of the family's 1533-position model. The record is from RNAcentral.